RNAcentral lists this ribosomal RNA (468 nucleotides) under uncultured bacterium. Its description in RNAcentral is "partial 16S ribosomal RNA". It matches the Rfam family "Bacterial small subunit ribosomal RNA", at positions 28 to 507 of the family's 1533-position model. The record is from RNAcentral.
GACGAACGCUGGCGGCGUGCUUAACACAUGCAGGUCGAACGGAAAGGCCCUGCUUUUGUGGGGUGCUCGAGUGGCGAACGGGUGAGUAACACGUGAGUAACCUGCCCUUGACUUUGGGAUAACUUCAGGAAACUGGGGCUAAUACCGGAUAGGAGCUCCUGCUGCAUGGUGGGGGUUGGAAAGUUUCGGCGGUUGGGGAUGGACUCGCGGCUUAUCAGCUUGUUGGUGGGGUAGUGGCUUACCAAGGCUUUGACGGGUAGCCGGCCUGAGAGGGUGACCGGCGACAUUGGGACUGAGAUACGGCCCAGACACCUACGGGAGGCAGCAGUGGGGAAUAUUGCACAAUGGGCGGAAGCCUGAUGCAGCAACGCCGCGGGCGGGAUGACGGCCUUCGGGUUGUAAACCGCUUUCGCCUGUGACGAAGCGUGAGUGACGGUAAUGGGUAAAGAAGCACCGGCUAACUACGUG